Molecule: long non-coding RNA, 923 nt
Organism: Gossypium raimondii (Peruvian cotton)
Lineage: Eukaryota; Viridiplantae; Streptophyta; Magnoliopsida; Malvales; Malvaceae
Exons: 2
Source: RefSeq, a predicted model, not a curated record
CUUAAAAGCUUUAGAAGAGUUUAUCCUUAGAUCUGUCUGGUCAAGAGAGCUUCAAUCUUAGACUUUAAAUAUGGUCCAUAGAAUCAAGAUCUAGAAGGUUUCGGUCAUCAUCUGUUUUGUCAAGUUUCAUGGGGCUGAAACAUUAUCCUCCUCUAAUGCAAUUUGCCUAACAUGCCUCAGCUAGAGCUAAUAUGGGAUAUCCGACCAACACCCACACCAUCAAUUAACAACUCCCCGCUAAUGGCGUAUCCAGCAGCUGCAGAGCAAACGAUCGCAUCUUGAAAUGUUUCGCCACAAAAUCCACUAUCUUGUUCACUUCCCUGCAGCGCAUGUUGGAUCUCUACAGUCCACUACCGACCAAGCAUCUGUUGCACUGAGUUUCAUAGAUUCCGCAAACAAUUCUCCUCUGGUGUACUGCUCUGUAGCUGGUUAAUGGCCUCCAAACUAUCACACUCUAGCUCCACAAGCCGAUACCCUUGUUGCCAAGUCAAGUGAAGCCCCUCAGCCACCGCCUACAACUCUGCCUGCAAAAUUGAACAGAGACCAUUAUUCCUCCCAAAUCUUACUCUCCAACUCCCCCACUCAUCCCGAUCAAUGUCUUUCACUUUGAUCAUUAAUUAAUGGAGUUUUCCUAUUUUGGGGGAGCCAACUACCAUUCUUACCCCACUUCAUGCUUCUACUAUAAUCCAAUUUCUUUUACUUGAAAAUGAAGCACAGUGUAGAAAUGGUGGGGAUCUUUGCAAAAAGAAAUGGUGGCUAAAAUAAUGUUCGGAACUGUGGUUACAGUUUUAAUCACAAAAUUAAAAGUGUUAAAACAUAAAGAUGCAUGCCAAAAUUGAUUACACAAUUCAACCCUAGUCUACGUUGCUCAGAGUAAUAAUCUACUAUCUUUCUUAUAGUAUAACAAAUGAUUUAAGUUUUAA